UCAAAUAUUUCUGCGGUUUGAUG
This 23-nucleotide non-coding RNA is filed under the name Arabidopsis thaliana (thale cress). Lineage: Eukaryota; Viridiplantae; Streptophyta; Magnoliopsida; Brassicales; Brassicaceae. The record is from RNAcentral.